GAAAAAGAAAGAAGAGGAAAAGAAAAGAGAAGGGCAUUUGCUCCCCUGGAGCUGAAGUUAGAGGUGGUUGUGGCAUGGAUCACUGAUGUGCUGGGAGACAAACUCGGGUCCUCUACAAGAGCAGUGCACACCUUAACCACUGAGACUUUUCUCCAGCUCUCAAUGAAAACUUUAAGAGCCCCAAAUGCUUGGAGCAACGUAAUUCAAGACUUGAAAGGACACAGACAUAGAAUUUUAAGCAUGCAUGUACCAAACUUGAGCAUGCCCAAUUUCUCAAAACAAAUACUACCAGGGCAUUAACCCACAGAUUAAUCCGACACUGUUAUAGGAGGUGACUAAUAUCCCACUCCCACUGAGGGAAGUAAAUCUAGAGGCUACAAUGAGGGCAGUCCUUUCUCCAAGCUAUCUCACAUUAGAGAGACCUCAAGUUAAUGACUUGGUUUCACAUCUGUGGCUGGGAAAAAAAAUAUCUAGACAAAAAGGAACUUGGUGGACGAAGGGACUAAUAGGCUCAUAAUUCCAGUAACAACCUGUCUUAGUCACUGUUCUGUUGCUGUGAAGGGACAUCCAUAAAGUCUUUAAGAGAAACAAAUGAUCAGACCUUGAAUCUUAAAGGAAAAAAAUAGUAGUAGGGAACAGCUGGACCUUACUCCAGGGGACAGCUGGAUCUUACUCCAGGGGACAGCUGGGCCUUACUCCAGGGAACAGCUGGGCCUUACUCCAGGGAACAGCUGAGCCUUACUACAGGGAACAGCUGGACCUUACUCCAGGUGACAACUGGACCUUACUCCAGGUGACAGCUGGGCCUUACUCCAGGUGACAGCUGGGCCUUACUCCAGGGAACAGCUGGACCUUACUCCAGGGGACAGCUGGAUCUUACUCCAGGGAACAGCUGGGCCUUACUCCAGGGUACAGCUGGGCCUUACUCCCAGUAAUCCCUGCUUCAAGUACCAAGUGCCCAAAAUCGCAGCUACUCUGCUUCUGACUAAUGGCAAAUGUGGCACACUUGCUACCAAAGAUGAACACAGCAGAAUAAACCAACAGCUACUUCAAGUAAGGUGCUACAGGGUCAGGAAGGCUGGAACAGUGGCUCAGUGGUUAAGAGCAAAGACUAGUAGUCUUUCAGAGGACUAAGGUUCAAUUCCCAGCACCCAUAUGGCAGCUCAGAGUUUUCUAACUUCAGCCCUAGGAGAUCUGACUCCUUCUUCUGGCCUUCAGGGGUACCAGGCAUGUUGAUGAUGCACAUACUGACAUGCAAAUAAAAUGCAAUACAUAUAAAUUAAUUUUUGUAUCAUUUGGUGCUUUUUCUACAGUGACAUACAACCAGAAACCUUUCUAUCCUCCUUAAGUACUGUAAGAGGGGAAACUAAUAACUCCUGGGCGUAAGAGACUUCUCUUCAGACACCUACAAACAUCCCCCCCAUUUUCCUCCCCACUGAAGUCUGAAAAGCCUAACUUCUGUGAAGAAGUAUGCCACUUUACUCUUACAGAGCUUACUGCUACCUCAAGCAAGAGAUCAAAUGGCAUAGAGACAUGGCUAGGGGCCUUGCUCAUAUGGUGGGUUUCUCUGUCAUACCUCUGUUCCCCGUUCUGAACCUGUACUUUGGGGACCAUAUUGAUCCUAGCAUCAGAAUGCAGUUGAUAGAAUGUCCUGGAAGACAAAGGUGAGUUAGCAUGCUAAGAUAAUAUUAAUUGGUUAAAUUCGUUACAUUUUUAAUUGUUAAAAGUCAAGUGCUCAGAGACUUCAGACGGUCACAUUUGCACAAAACUGUGUUUUAAAACAGAAGACUGGAUGCUGAGUUGACAAACAGUUAGUUGAAAGGGGUCCAUGGGGAAUACAAGGAAAUGGUGUUUACUGAGUGACUGUGAUGUGCUGGGCACAAGACUUUAGGAGGCUGUUACCAAUAUUUGCCUGUCAUUCAUAGGAACAUGAAGAUGCCCGCGGGCGAGUGCUUUAUGUGUUAAUACACAUCUGAUCAUAGGAGCUAUUCCACAGACCCCGGUACCUCAAAAGGAGUGACGUGGAAGUGGGCGGAGUGCCCAGUGCUUUUAAAUCGUGAUCUCAAGAGACUUCUGUCAUCCCUGGGAGUCUCUAACUCUGGGAUGUUUUACCUGGUUAAGUCAAGGGGUGUUCUCCAUGACUUCAUGCCUUCCUUCUCUGAUACUUCUGAGACUACGUUCCCCUCAGGGGAUCUUUCCCUCACCCUUUACACACUUUCAUUCUCCCUUCAUCCCCUAAACUCCUGCCCCGCACCCUCAUCCUGCUGUAGUGAAAUGUGUCUGCUUUGUGUGGUUUUUCUCUUUUUUCUUUCUUUCUUUUUUUUCCAGGAAAGAAAAUUACUUAUGUCUUCCAAAAACUUUCAAAAAUUUGGACCCAACUACUAAUUACCCCACAUCUGCUUUGUCUCAAAACUGAGCCUGGACAAGGCAGGUAUUAUCUGCAGACCUCUCGGCAAAGCUCUCAGCACCAGAGGAUAGAUGAGCCAUCACCCCAUUAACAGAUUGCACCCAAUUUUGCAGGACUCCCACAGGCGGCCUCACAGCCAGCAAUUUGCUAAGACCUUGUAAGAAGUAAUUGACUCCAACCUUGGUCACACCAAGGGCAACGAAAACAACUAGAACUCUUAAACCAGAGAGGAUAGAAAGGAAAGUCCAGACUGUCCCUGAUUUAUGGUGGAUCUACUUAAGUCUUACCCACUCUAUCAAAGGGCAGAGGUGUAUCCAUGCAACCGGUCUGUUUUUCGCUUUCAGAAAAAUCGCAUAUGAUAUUCAACGCUUUGGGUUGAUGGUUUUGCACAACAGAAGGCUGGAGUGAGUGUUCUGUGCAUAUUUAAGAUAGACUAGGCUAAGCUAUGGCAUGUUGGAACUAAGUGUAUUAAAUGCAUUUUGAUAUGAAAUUUUUGAUUUGGGGUAGGCUUAUUAGGGAUACAACCUAUCAUAAGUCAAGGGAUAUCUGUAAUCCCCAGGUGCAUACAUUUAACAACAACAACAACAACAACGAAGACAGCCCUGCUGAGCUUGGUGGCACACUCUUACAGUGCCAGCAUUUGGAAAGCUAAGCAAAGGGGCUGCAAAUUUUAGGACAGCCUAAUCAACACAGUGCAACACUAUUUCAAACACAACAGCAACAACAAUAACUCAAGGCCCUGCGUAGGUAAAGGAAGAAAGCAACAGUUAAGUGGGGUCUAUAGAACAGGGGACGCUGCUGCACGCAGAACAGAGAACACGACAAAGGUCUCUGGUCGCCCCACCUCACUGCCCUACUCCGUAAAUCUCCAUGACCUAAAAUCUGUCUUUAAGCAUGAACACGAGACCUGGCAUGCAGUUCUCCUCACAUCUGGACCUCAAGCCACCUGCGUCUACAAGGUAAGCAGAAUGGGACUGAAUUCCAACCUUUCCAAAACCUGAAGACUUAUAUCUGAGCCACUCUUGCAAACACAAUCCAGAGAGACAGUUCGCAGAUUUGUUUAAGGAGCAGUGACAAUUCGGAUCCCAGAUUCACUCUCAGGCUCUGAUCUAAUCCUCUCUCAUUUAUGCAUUUAAAAGAAAGGCCAAGCAUAUGUUAGAAAAAAAGUUCAAAUCUUUUAUAGAAGGU
Molecule: long non-coding RNA, 3595 nt
Filed under: Mus musculus (house mouse)
Lineage: Eukaryota; Metazoa; Chordata; Mammalia; Rodentia; Muridae
Description: long non-coding RNA chr6:117662046-117665641
Source: RNAcentral